Molecule: unclassified non-coding RNA, 19 nt
Filed under: synthetic construct
Source: RNAcentral
UCCUAAGAGUGCUGGGCAU